RNAcentral lists this long non-coding RNA (387 nucleotides) under Elaeis guineensis (African oil palm). RNAcentral describes it as "long non-coding RNA (EGUI_LNC019898)". Lineage: Eukaryota; Viridiplantae; Streptophyta; Magnoliopsida; Arecales; Arecaceae. The record is from RNAcentral.
ACCAUAGAUAUGAAUUAGCAACAAAGAGAAGAUAUAUAAUCAAAAGAUGAUUGAUACCAUUACAAAGAGUCGAUAUAUAAUUAAAAGAUGAUUGAUACCAUAGUUGUUUCAAUACAUAUUCCAUAAUAUAAAAGUCAACUAGUUAACAUCAUUACAUGGCCCAAGAGACAGAUCCUAGAAAGAACAACAGACAUGACUAACAACAAGGAUCUAGUAGAGCUCAUGACUAGAUGGAUCAGAAUCAGAUGUAUCAGAGAUGGGGUGGGGAGAUGAUGGAUCAUGACCAAGAGCUCGUCCUCUACCCCGUCUGCCUCUACCACGAGUGGAGGUGCUGGCACGAGUAGGUGGGUGAGAUGAUCCUGAAGGCUGAGAGGCCAUAGACUGGAC